This 403-nucleotide ribosomal RNA is filed under the name uncultured bacterium. RNAcentral describes it as "bacterial SSU rRNA". It matches the Rfam family "Bacterial small subunit ribosomal RNA", at positions 32 to 426 of the family's 1533-position model. The record is from RNAcentral.
AAUCAACGCUGGCGGCGUGCCUCAGACAUGCAAGUCGAACGAUUAAACUCGCCUUCGGGUGAGAUAUAAAGUGGCGCACGGGUGAGUAACACGUAGGUAAUGUACCUUUGGGUGGGGAAUAACUUAGGGAAACUUAAGCUAAUACCGCAUAAUGCAGCGGCUCCUUCGGGAGACAGUUGUUAAAGAUUUAUCGCCUAAAGAGCAGCCUGCGGCAGAUUAGCUAGUUGGAAGGUAACGGCUUACCAAGGCUACGAUCUGUAUCCGACCUGAGAGGGGUGGGUCGGACACACUGACACUGAAUAACGGGUCAGACUCCUACGGGAGGCAGCAGUCGGGAAUUUUGGGCAAUGGGCGAAAGCCUGACCCAGCAACGCCGCGUGAAGGAUGAAGUCUUUCGGGAUGU